Long non-coding RNA from Xiphophorus couchianus (Monterrey platyfish), 6653 nucleotides. RefSeq lists it as uncharacterized. Lineage: Eukaryota; Metazoa; Chordata; Actinopteri; Cyprinodontiformes; Poeciliidae. The transcript is spliced from 2 exons. The record is from RefSeq and is a predicted model, not a curated record.
UUUGACAUGACAGACAAACACAAAAUGGUACAUAAUUGUGAAAUGGAAAGAAAAGGAUACAGUUUUCAACAUUUGUACAAGUAAAACCAAAAAAGCGUGGUGAACAUUUGCAUUCAAACUCUUUGCAUAAGAGUACCUAAAUAACAAAUUGAGUUUAUUUGUAUGUAAUCUUAUAACAAAUACAGCUGUUUUUUGAGUACACUAGAGAACAAAAAGCAUAAUGAAGGACAAAGCUGUGGAAAAGAUUAAAGAAAGGUUACAUUAUAAAACAAUGAAUCUGAUGUUAAAAUGAAAUGCAUUAUCUGAAAAUAAAAACAAUAGGCAGUAAACCUAUGGUAAUAGUGUAGUAGCUGCAGAAGAAAAUGCAUGGAGCCAAAGAUUUCUUCAUAUCAUUUAAAAUAAUAAAAUGUUUAAACAUCAAUUAAUGUAUAAUACUUUUCACUUAGUGAACCAAGUUACUUAAAAUAUGGAAAGUUUUCAAUAAUAUUCUAAUUUAUUUUAUAUAACUGCAGUUCAAGGGGUAUAAACCCAUUCACUAAUUAACUAAUAUGUGCUUUUCUAGUGUAUAUAAGGGGACAUGAAAGAACUCAAUCAUUUGCUUAUUUAUAGCAACACAGGUGUUAUAGAUGAUAUCAGUAUGGUCUCAAACAGACUCAGCCUGCAACUAAUAAAAUCUUGAGGUUUAGAAAAGACUGUAAUACCUUCCACGUGGCUUUUUAUGAACCACUGUGAUUGACAGCUGCAGCUCUGAUAACUCUCCCACCUAUUCACCUCACUGUUGACUUUUACAGCAUGUGUUUAAAGUAUAAGAUUUGACUUUCUCCAGAAUCCCAGUUCUACUGCAGCAGUCUGAAAGUUACACUAGCAAGACACAACGUGCCGUGAUGCAAUGCUGUGGUGGGCUAAAUGUUUCUACAAUACUGCCAUGUUAGCAGAAUUUACCUUGGCUGGUUUAUACAUGGUAGGAUUAAGUCUGAUUGUUGUGUUUGUUAUUACUGUAGAGAGUAAUCCACUGUGAGAACAAAAUAUAGUUCUUUAGUAUGGAAGGUUUCGACUCUGAAUGGAAAACAGAUGAAUAACAACACUCUCAUAAGAAACAUAAGUUUCUUUUUCACAGCAACAUGUAUCAUUAUUAAAAACAGAGUUGAGUACUAAGUUAAAUUUAUUUGAGGAACUUUGUAAAAAAAUUACUUUUAGAAAUAUGUUUACUACACUGUCCUUUUAACUUGUAUGUUUAUUAUGAAAUAUUACUACUAUGAUUACAUUGCUAAUUAUGAAUGAGUUUCAUUUUUGUCUUUGAAACGGCAAGGUUUCCACAUUUUGGUCUGUAUGAUGAUGUAAUGUUUAAAUAUCAAAUGACUGAUGUUUGGAUCAGUUUCUACUCGAGUAGCCUUUUUACCAAAUACUUUUACACUCUGGUAAUUUCAUGGACAGUUACUUUGUGCUUUUGGAGGAGUAGAAAUAAGUUGAAGCUACUCUUACUUGAUUGCAGUUUUUGGAUACUCAGUACACCUCUGCUUGAAAUGGGAGCCUUGUGAAAAGGUAAAACGCUGUCAUCAGCUCCCAAGCUGGAAAUGAGUUGGAGGCUGACAGGCUCUUAAUUUUGCCACAUCACAGAAGCCCCUGUAUGGCGCAGGAAGUGAGUGCAUGAUAGCUGAUGUGGUUCUUCCAAACCACAAGUUAAAAAUAAAGUGGCUCCUACCUUCCUAUCAGAAUCAAACUUCUUACUUUAAUCACACCUUUAUGGUUUUUAUUCUUUAUAACAUAAUUCUGAUGUGUCUUAAUUAUCAGACAAAGUUUUAAUGAACAACCAUGCAGACAAGAUUAAAUGCACAUAGAACUAUAUAUAUAUGUAUAUAUAUAUUGUAUAUAUAUAUAUAUAUAAAAUACAUGGGAGAUAAAUGUGAAUCAAGCACCAAACCAAAACAAGAUCCUGUGGUUUGAAAUUAUUUCAUGUUUUUCUGCUUUUAAAUUCAUUUAUCCCAUUUUUAUGCAAACACAAAGAAGAUCAUGACUCCACUGUUUUAUUUUUCUCAGCUGAAACCAUGGCAGCUUCAAUAAUCUGACUUGUUUCUCGCUCUGCACCAUUUUGGAUUCCACACUGCAGUUUGGCUUUAUGAUUUCCAUCUUUGUCUGUCUGUAGCAGGCCAGACAUCUCAUUAAAGAUCAGCGUCUCAGGCUGUCGAACAUGUGUAGGGGGUUGACGAAGUGACUCAGCAGAAAGCAGCCCGCCGACUCUUCCUGAAUCUCCCACAUGUGGAGCCUCUGUCUUCUUCAAUUCUUCUUGAAACCGCAAACAGCCAGAUUCUCUUCCUGUACACCAUCCACACGUUCGGAUCCACUCACACGCAGCUGAGCCGCUCAGCGAUGAAGUGUUUUAUAUGGUUACUGGAAAGCUAUGGAUACCCUGGAGGGUUUGAUGGGAUUUGAAGAUGAUCGCUUGCCCACAAAUCCACACUUUAAUGAUGAUGGACAACUCACUGAAAACUGAAUUAACAGUUAGUGUAGCAUCAUCACUGACUGUCGAAACCAGACGGCUCACUACUAAACAUAUGCAGGUUUAUGCUAAUUAUAUUAAUAUGGACAAAUAGCUGGACAUUUUUAUAUUUAAUAUAUCAGUUUUCAACAUCAGUGGAUAAGCCCUCAGAACCCAAUAAUCAUGAAACGCCCCCUUAAAGUGUUUCCAUGUUCUCAACACUAAGUUCCAAUCUUUUCUCUAUCACACCAGUGAACACCUUGAAAACCUAGUGGCAAAGAUCUUGUCAUGGUUACUGCUGAUCAUUUUAAACACUACAACUUAAAAUGACACAGAGUCGAUUGUAAACAAGUACAGCCAAACCAUAGAAGUGAGAUUCCCUCGGUUGUCCUUGUCAAACCAUGAAUGUUUGCUUCAUAGGUCGUUGCUACCAAGUCCACUUCUCGGAAAGUCCUUACUCGGCCUGUCUCACAACACAAAAUCCCACGCAACAUCAAAACAUUUCAUACUUUUCCCAAAAUAGCCUCCUUGACCAGGAAAUGGAUGAAGAAACUACACAAAAUUACCCAUGACAAAAAAUAAAUAAAUAAAUAAAAAAUAUAGAAAGCAUGACAAAAAAGGGACACAAUGACAUUCCCAUGAAAUUUCAAAAUUGCAUAAUUUUAUUAUGUAGUUUUUUUUCCCCCAUAGGGAAAAUAAGAGAGAAUCUAUUUGUUAUAACAGAAUUAAAGAACUACAUCCAAUACAAAACAGACUCCUGUCAUCUGGAGAAAUACCAAGAAGACUAUGCCGUCAAAGAUGGUCAAGAAGCUUUGUGGCAUGGUCAUCUCAUCUUGAAUGGGAAAAAACAAAAGGAGAUUCUUGUAGAUUUGAGAAGAAACAGGUCAAGCAACAUUUCUACCAUGGAAGAAGUAGAAGAGAUGGUGGAGUAUAAACAUUUCACUGUCCACCUGGAUGAACACCAAAGUCAUCUACAGGGCUCUAAAACUUUUCGAAAUAUAUUAAAACAACAGUGUAUUCAGUCCUUAUGACAGAGCCACUGUAAUGAGGACUGCUACAGGAGAUCCUUCCUGACAUCAGCAUUUACAUCUCUAAACAAAAUAGUAUAAAACGAGUCAUUUAAUGUACCUUUAAGGUGAACAAAGUAUUUUUAAGUUAAAUUUGACAGAUUUUAAAAUGUAACUUUUGAAAUCUGUCAAAAGAUUAUAAAAGCAUUUCCCCUACACAUGCUUUUGUAGGAGAGUGAUUUGGGGGAUUACGGGGGUGGGGGUCCGGUGGGGGAACAUUUCAGAAAGAAAUGACAGCCGAGAGUUAUGCUUGUUUGCAAAAUUGAUCUGUAUCAGACACAUUUUUAUUUGUUUUUUGCAACACUUGCUUUUAUUAAUUUACCCUGAGAGAGUUGCAUUUUACAGUGGGAAAGUUUGAGUCUCAUAGAGACAGGGAAAUAUUCAUUUGAACACAGCUUUAAUGCUUGCCCAGUUUGUGACAAACAAUACCAGACAGUCAGGAGCCACACAUCAACACACAAACACAUGCACGGUUGGGUAGCAAACCUGAUGUCCCGACCCGAAGGCUAUGAGCGGAAAGCGACACACACUGCUUAUUAAUGGUGUCUGAGAGAGUGUGUGUGUGUGUGUGUGUGUAUGUGUGUGUGUGUGUGUCACGCUGCCAGGAAUACAGAGACAAAGAAACACACGCGUACGCUUUUGGUUGUCAGCGUGUUUACUGCUUAAACUUGAGGAAACUCGAUUCUUUCUCAACAGAAACCUCGUUCAUCGGCUGUUGCACUGUCAGCUUAAAUUACCUCCACAUAACAGGAUUUUGUUACUUUUGAUUUAUGGGUGUACUGUUAAACUAUAUUUGACAUUUAUCUGGGAAGACAUGCAUUUAAAGUAAGAUCUCAUUUUUAAUUUAAUAAUCUAUGCUUUCCAGUCAUUUGGAUCCAAACAUCUGUUCACAUGUUUAAAAACUCAUGGAUAAUGAUUGAUUUAUUGAUGUUUUAAAGCAGUGUGCGUAAAGGGACUACACACAAAAACAAAACCAUAGAGACAGAAAAACUACAACUGUAUGUAAAUCAGAAAUUGAUACAUAAGGGCAACUAAUCUGGUUCAAUUUGUUUAGGAUUUGGUGAUUUUUCCCGUUUCCAACCAACUCUCACAGCAGCUUACAGAGUUAACGUUUUGAAAUGUAAAGUUUGCUGCGACAUUCUGAUGUCACAUGUCCCAGUGUCCCGCUGUAACGUGUUUGUGUGGCUCAGGAUGAGAAAAACACUCAUGACUUCCUCUUCAUCACUAAUCACUCUCAUCUGUUGAUCUUCUUGAUCUCUGUCUGAUAUACAGCAGAGCACAGCAGCCCCCUGAGACGCCUAAAAAAGCAAAACAGUGUGGGGGUGUACAGGCGGGUGUGCACGUGUGUGUUAUACAGUUUGUCCUUGUUUGUGGGGACAAGCUAGAUUUUGGACAUUAAUGGAGCCAUUUCAGAGCUGAGAUGUCAUUGUAUAGAUAAUAUUAAGACAAAUAGAGGAAAGAAAAUACAUAACUUCAUCCUAUUCUGAGCUGUAAGCAAGAGAUUAAGAUCCAAGACAGUUUGACGGUUUUAACAGAUUAUCUUAAUGAAGGUCCUCGCAAGUAAGGUAUGAUGCGCACGGGAGGCUGUGGUUUCACCACAUUAUGCAGGACAGUAGGGGACUGAGGGGAAGUAGAUGACAUAGUUUGUGGUCUGAGCUGAUGGUAAAACUGUGUGUGUAUGAGAAAGACUGGUUUCACGGAAUCUGGUCGAAAUCAGGCAUACGGUAAACGUGUUUUGGAUUUUAUUGGAUUUUUAUUGGAACAGAGAGGGAAGGAUUUCCAGUUUGGCUUAAUAAAGACAUUGGUUAUCAACCAGCACAACAAGUUUAUGUGUUGUUUCUUAACUGUUAUUGUCAGAGCUCAGUACAAAAGUAAAUAAGAAAAUAGUUGUAUAUAUAUUCUCAAAUUUGUUACAUAACUUUUUUUUCUACAUACUUAGGCAAUUACGUUUCAUAUUGAAAAACUGUUUUAAAGGAUGGUCAGCAUAUUCUAAGAGGUUGGAGUCAGCCAUUAGUCCCAGUAAAGAUGGGCUGGGUUAAAAUAAUUAUACAGUAAUCAUUUAACGAAGCAGUGUAUCUUUUGCCAGGUGUUUUUUUUUUUUUUUUUACAUAAGCUUAUUUUCAGUUUGCUUAGGUGUCACCUAUUUAGAGUAGUUUAUAACAAAUCUGAUAAUUUUUUAUUAACUUAGUUUCUUAACUACCUAUCAAUGUGUCUUGCCUGAUUGAAAGUAAAAUUAAUAUUUGGUAGAGGAUAAAAGUCCUGAUUGUCUUGAAGAUAAUCUGUGAAUGGAGCUAAAGAUUAGGGUGAUGGUUAAGAGGCCUUCCAAAAGAAUCGAAUUACAUUUAUUCAUUUUUAUAAGCAAGGAAUUGCUAUGGUAUGACCGAUAAAAUAUCAUUUAUAAUCACAAAAUUCUUUUUGUUUUAAUCAGUGGUUCACAUCUGUCACAUGAAAGAUGGCUCAACUGAUACAAAAACCACGAUCAGUGGAAUUUAGGUGUACGACUAAAUAGAAUGAAAUUAAACUAUGUUUAGUAACUUAGUAUUUUCUAAUGAUUUAGUUCCAUAUUCCAUUGAAAAACUGCUUAACCAUCAAUAGAAGAAAAUAAAAACACAUAGUUUGAAGUAGUUUGUUCAUAAGGUAUAAAUCAGAAGGACAGGACAAAAUGAGAGCGUGGAUAUAAAAUGUGGCCGUGAUUUAAAUCUAAAUAGACUGGUUGUUAAUUACAGCAAAAGUUUGUAAACCUGCCUGUUUUUUGUAUUUCUAAACUGCUGGAGAUGGUAUAAUAAACUAAAGAAAAUAAAAUGUUAAAUAUUAUUGCUAGCUGGAAGUGUGUAUGACCCAUGGAAUUAGUCACAUUUAAUUCAACUUCAGAGAUUGAGAUUUAGGUUGAAUUUGUUCAAUUCACAUUGUGCUGACUUUUAAAUGGACUCAAUUUAUUUAGCACUUUUCUAGUCAAACCAACCAAUCAAAGAACUUUACGUCAGAUCCACAUUUACCCUGUCGCACUGACAAACACGUGCAUUCACCCAGUGAUGCAUAGAUCGGUAGACAAUUUGGGUUUAUGUGUUUUGCCCAAGGGGACAAAACACGUAACUCCAGGAAGGAGGAAG